UUUCACAUAUGGGUGAUCUAAUUCACCCACAUGUGAAUUAGAUUAACAUAUUCAAAUUCACAUAUGGAUGAAUUUAAUUCACCCAUAUGUGAAA
Molecule: microRNA precursor, 94 nt
Filed under: Melampsora larici-populina 98AG31
Lineage: Eukaryota; Fungi; Basidiomycota; Pucciniomycetes; Pucciniales; Melampsoraceae
Description: microRNA MIR807
Source: RNAcentral